This 253-nucleotide ribosomal RNA is filed under the name uncultured bacterium. RNAcentral's name for it is "partial 16S ribosomal RNA". It matches the Rfam family "Bacterial small subunit ribosomal RNA", at positions 524 to 776 of the family's 1533-position model. The record is from RNAcentral.
UACGUAGGGUGCGAGCGUUAAUCGGAAUUACUGGGCGUAAAGCGUGCGCAGGCGGUUCGCCAAGUCAGGUGUGAAAUCCCCGGGCUUAACCUGGGAAUUGCGCUUGAAACUAGCGGGCUUGAGUGUGGCAGAGGGGGGUGGAAUUCCACGUGUAGCAGUGAAAUGCGUAGAGAUGUGGAGGAACACCGAUGGCGAAGGCAGCCCCCUGGGUCAACACUGACGCUCAUGCACGAAAGCGUGGGGAGUAAACAGG